CAGGUACANCGGGAAGCCAUGCGGCGACGCAGAGCGGAACCCGAAAACCUGUCUCAGUUCGGAUUGGAGUCUGCAACCCGACUCCAUGAAGCUGGAUUCGCUAGUAAUCGCGCAUCAGCCACGGCGCGGUGAAUACGUUCCCGGGCCUUGUACACACCGCCCGUCAAGCCAUGGAAGCCGGGAGUGCCUGAAGUGCGUGAGCGCAAGCAGCGCCCUAAGGUAAAACCGGUGACUGGGGCUAAGUCGUAACAAGGUAAC
This 258-nucleotide ribosomal RNA is filed under the name uncultured bacterium. Its description in RNAcentral is "partial 16S ribosomal RNA". It matches the Rfam family "Bacterial small subunit ribosomal RNA", at positions 1234 to 1500 of the family's 1533-position model. The record is from RNAcentral.